ACAGGUGAUAUCAUGGAGUUUUCUGUCAUUUCAAUAUUUGCUAUAGAAAUUUAAUCGCCAGGAAGUGCAUGUUCAAGAAUGUGUGACUCAUUCAGAGAGGAAACCAGCCAUUGUAAGGGAAGUAGAAGUGAACUAUCUGAAUGGGCCCAGUCAGGUGAAGCCACUGCGGAAACUAACACUAAGGAUGUCCAAAAUCUUGUCAGGCCAAAUAGUUUCCCAGAAUCAUAUGGCAGAAGCAAGGAAACUAGCAAUCGUGAGGCAAACAUUAUCUGAAGUUGGCCUGUCAUGUAAAGAAACAACCAAUACUAUUAUUAAUGACAUAAAACAAUUGGUUAUUCAACAAAAUGGUAUUAUAGGACAGAAUGACAGGUCCCGUCUUGACCUGGAACUAUUUGGAAUAGCUAUACCAUGGACAACUUUUUAUGGCUGUGUCUUUUAUGUUCCAGAUUGUGAUUGCCCUAAUAGCUCAAGUGAACUUUAUCUAUGUAAGCUAGACAUAAGGUUGUAUGGAGGAAAAGUUGUAGAACAAUUAAGUGAAAGUGUUUCCCAUGUACUCGUGUGUGGAUCUUGUGAUAACCGACAUCUUAGCUCGUCAAAUGAAACUAAACAAAAGUUUGUAACUAAACAAUAGAUCGAAAAGUGCAUUGAAAGCAGAGUCUUGCUCAAAAAUAUGUAUUUCGAUUCUUUGUAAUUGUCUGAUGGACAACCGUGCUGUGUUAUGAAACUUGAAUAAAAGGAGGUGAAAUCUCAUAAA
RNAcentral lists this unclassified non-coding RNA (754 nucleotides) under Daphnia magna. RNAcentral's name for it is "uncharacterized LOC116935165, transcript variant X4". Lineage: Eukaryota; Metazoa; Arthropoda; Branchiopoda; Diplostraca; Daphniidae. The record is from RNAcentral.